UACGAGGGGGCUAGCGUUGUUCGGAAUUACUGGGCGUAAAGCGCACGUAGGCGGACUUCUAAGUCAGGGGUGAAAUCCCGGGGCUCAAACCCGGAACUGCCCUUGAUACUGGAAGUCUUGAGUCCGAGAGAGGUGAGUGGAAUUCCGAGUGUAGAGGUGAAAUUCGUAGAUAUUCGGAAGAACACCAGUGGCGAAGGCGGCUCACUGGCUCGGUACUGACGCUGAGGUGCGAAAGCGUGGGGAGCAAACAGG
RNAcentral lists this unclassified non-coding RNA (252 nucleotides) under uncultured Alphaproteobacteria bacterium. RNAcentral's name for it is "contains 16S-23S intergenic spacer region". It matches the Rfam family "Bacterial small subunit ribosomal RNA", at positions 524 to 776 of the family's 1533-position model. The record is from RNAcentral. Lineage: Bacteria; Pseudomonadati; Pseudomonadota; Alphaproteobacteria.